RNAcentral lists this long non-coding RNA (771 nucleotides) under Coccomyxa subellipsoidea. RNAcentral describes it as "long non-coding RNA (CSUB_LNC000681)". Lineage: Eukaryota; Viridiplantae; Chlorophyta; Trebouxiophyceae; Coccomyxaceae. The record is from RNAcentral.
GGAUCAGCUGAACUGGCGGACUGAACCCCAAUUACCAGCAGAAGCAAGUCAACGGACGACGAGGAGCUAUUAUAGAAUUGAAUGAUGGCAAGCGUGAGGACAUACUGUGAAGUGAGCUCCUUCCGCAGCCUCCAGCCCUCUCAAGCUGACGUGAAGGGCUCCACUCGCGCAAAUUGGUGUCCGUGCAGCCACUUGAGCUUGGAAAAUAUUACAGAUCAGUCUCACAGCGCCUUCUCUGUCCUAGCUUGCCUCAGAACGCCAUUCUACGUACUGAACGAACAUCCUGUGAGCCAGGAGGAGCUUACUGACUUGGAGUGGACUCGGCGCGCUCCAGACUUGGAACCCGGAAGCUUUCUCAGGAAGGAGGAUGGCUCAGGCGUCAUAGACCCACGCGGAGUGGCUCUGGCAUUUGUGAAGGAAGGGUGAGCUCACCCACCUGAACCACAACUACCACGUUCAGGCUCUGCUGUCAUGCAGGUCUAACCAGCAUGCAUGGACAGGCGGGACAAGGUUAUUGCUAUUAUCCGGCUCUUUCUCUGCAGAUGUAGGCAUGGCACAUGUGCAACAUGCUGUGGGAUAGCUUAAUGCUGAUAAUGCAAGCUUAAGCAUGCCAAAUCUGGCUACGCAGGUAUUUUGCUCAAUGUGAUGCGAUUGGCUUGCCACGGGAAGAACCUCACUGGACAUCUUUGGCAUUGAGGAGAUCACAGUCUUUGCAAUUCACAAAUCUGAAGAGGUUCAGCCGAUUAGGGGCACCCACAGCUCAAAAGCUCG